Molecule: ribosomal RNA, 480 nt
Filed under: uncultured bacterium
Lineage: Bacteria
Description: bacterial SSU rRNA
Rfam family: Bacterial small subunit ribosomal RNA
Source: RNAcentral
AACGCUGGCGGCAUGCUUUACACAUGCAAGUCGAGCGGCAGCGCGGGGGCAACCCUGGCGGCGAGCGGCGAACGGGUGAGUAACGCAUCGGAACGUAUCCUGUAGUGGGGAUAACGUAGCGAAAGUUACGCUAAUACCGCAUACGCACUAAGGUGGAAAGUGGGGGGAUCUUCGGACCUCAUGCUCAUGGAGUGGCCGAUAUCUGAUUAGCUAGUUGGUGAGGUAAAGGCUCACCAAGGCGACGAUCAGUAGCUGGUUUGAGAGAACGACCAGCCACACUGGAACUGAGACACGGUCCAGACUCCUACGGGAGGCAGCAGUGGGGAAUUUUGGACAAUGGGGGCAACCCUGAUCCAGCAAUGCCGCGUGAGUGAAGAAGGCCUUCGGGUUGUAAAGCUCUUUUGUCAGGGAAGAGACGGUGAGUUCUAAUAAAGCUUGCUAAUGACGGUACCUGAAGAAUAAGCACCGGCUAACUACGUG